RNAcentral lists this ribosomal RNA (492 nucleotides) under uncultured bacterium. RNAcentral describes it as "partial 16S ribosomal RNA". It matches the Rfam family "Bacterial small subunit ribosomal RNA", at positions 29 to 507 of the family's 1533-position model. The record is from RNAcentral.
AGUGAACGCUGGCGGUAGGCCUAACACAUGCAAGUCGAACGGCAGCACAGUAAGAGCUUGCUCUUACGGGUGGCGAGUGGCGGACGGGUGAGGAAUACAUCGGAAUCUACUUUUUCGUGGGGGAUAACGUAGGGAAACUUACGCUAAUACCGCAUACGACCUACGGGUGAAAGCAGGGGAUCUUCGGACCUUGCGCGAUUGAAUGAGCCGAUGUCGGAUUAGCUAGUUGGCGGGGUAAAGGCCCACCAAGGCGACGAUCCGUAGCUGGUCUGAGAGGAUGAUCAGCCACACUGGAACUGAGACACGGUCCAGACUCCUACGGGAGGCAGCAGUGGGGAAUAUUGGACAAUGGGCGAAAGCCUGAUCCAGCCAUGCCGCGUGUGUGAAGAAGGUCUUCGGGUUGUAAAGCCCUUUAAGUUGGGAAGAAGAGCAGCAAGUUAAUACCUCGCUGUUUUGACGUUACCCAAAGAAUAAGCACCGGCUAACUUCGUG